GACGAACGCUGGCGGCGUGCUUAACACAUGCAAGUCGAACGGAAAGGCCCUGCUUUUGUGGGGUGCUCGAGUGGCGAACGGGUGAGUAACACGUGAGUAACCUGCCCUUGACUUUGGGAUAACUUCAGGAACUGGGGCUAAUACCGGAUAGGAGCUCCUGCUGCAUGGUGGGGGUUGGAAAGUUUCGGCGGUUGGGGAUGGACUCGCGGCUUAUCAGCUUGUUGGUGGGGUAGUGGCUUACCAAGGCUUUGACGGGUAGCCGGCCUGAGAGGGUGACCGGCCACAUUGGGACUGAGAUACGGCCCAGACUCCUACGGGAGGCAGCAGUGGGGAAUAUUGCACAAUGGGCGGAAGCCUGAUGCAGCAACGCCGCGUGCGGGAUGACGGCCUUCGGGUUGUAAACCGCUUUCGCCUGUGACGAAGCGUGAGUGACGGUAAUGGGUAAAGAAGCACCGGCUAACUACGUGCCAGCAGCCGCGGUGAUACGUAGGGUGCGAGCGUUGUCCGGAUUUAUUGGGCGUAAAGGGCUCGUAGGUGGUUGAUCGCGUCGGAAGUGUAAUCUUGGGGCUUAACCCUGAGCGUGCUUUCGAUACGGGUUGACUUGAGGAAGGUAGGGGAGAAUGGAAUUCCUGGUGGAGCGGUGGAAUGCGCAGAUAUCAGGAGGAACACCAGUGGCGAAGGCGGUUCUCUGGGCCUUUCCUGACGCUGAGGAGCGAAAGCGUGGGGAGCGAACAGGCUUAGAUACCCUGGUAGUCCACGCUGUAAACGGUGGGUACUAGGUGUGGGGUCCAUUCCACGGGUUCCGUGCCGUAGCUAACGCUUUAAGUACCCCGCCUGGGGAGUACGGCCGCAAGGCUAAAACUCAAAGGAAUUGACGGGGCCCCGCACAAGCGGCGGAGCAUGCGGAUUAAUUCGAUGCAACGCGUAGAACCUUACCUGGGUUUGACAUGGAUCGGGAGUGCUCAGAGAUGGGUGUGCCUCUUUUGGGGUCGGUUCACAGGUGGUGCAUGGCUGUCGUCAGCUCGUGUCGUGAGAUGUUGGGUUAAGUCCCGCAACGAGCGCAACCCUUGUUCACUGUUGCCAGCACGUUAUGGUGGGGACUCAGUGGAGACCGCCGGGGUCAACUCGGAGGAAGGUGGGGAUGACGUCAAGUCAUCAUGCCCCUUAUGUCCAGGGCUUCACGCAUGCUACAAUGGCUGGUACAGAGAGUGGCGAGCCUGUGAGGGUGAGCGAAUCUCGGAAAGCCGGUCUCAGUUCGGAUUGGGGUCUGCAACUCGACCUCAUGAAGUCGGAGUCGCUAGUAAUCGCAGAUCAGCAACGCUGCGGUGAAUACGUUCCCGGG
This 1342-nucleotide ribosomal RNA is filed under the name uncultured bacterium. RNAcentral describes it as "16S ribosomal RNA". It matches the Rfam family "Bacterial small subunit ribosomal RNA", at positions 28 to 1378 of the family's 1533-position model. The record is from RNAcentral.